CGGCAAGCCUGACGACGCAACGCCGCGUGGAGGAUGAAGGUCUUCGGAUUGUAAACUCCUGGUUGCCCCGGGAAGAACGGCCCCGACCUAACGACGUCGGGGUUUGACGGUACCGGGUGAGGAAGCCCCGGCUAACUCUGUGCCAGCAGCCGCGGUAAUACAGAGGGGGCAAGCGUUGUUCGGAAUUACUGGGCGUAAAGGGCGCGUAGGCGGCCUCCUAAGUCGGACGUGAAAUCCCCGAGCUCAACUCGGGAACUGCGUCCGAUACUGGUUGGCUUGAAUCCGGGAGAGGGAUGCGGAAUUCCAGGUGUAGCGGUGAAAUGCGUAGAUAUCUGGAGGAACACCGGUGGCGAAGGCGGCAUCCUGGACCGGCAUUGACGCUGAGGCGCGAAAGCCAGGGGAGCAAACGGGAUUAGAUACCCCGGUAGUCCUGGCCCUAAACGAUGAAUGCUUGGUGUGGCGGGUAUCGAUCCCUGCCGUGCCGAAGCUAACGCAUUAAGCAUUCCGCCUGGGGAGUACGGUCGCAAGGCUG
Molecule: ribosomal RNA, 532 nt
Filed under: uncultured Acidobacteriota bacterium
Lineage: Bacteria; Pseudomonadati; Acidobacteriota
Description: bacterial SSU rRNA
Rfam family: Bacterial small subunit ribosomal RNA
Source: RNAcentral